CGGGUGAGUAACACGUGGUCAACCUUCCCUACAGUGGGGGAUAACUAGCCGAAAGGUUAGCUAAUACCGCAUGACAUCUUCGAGAGGCAUCUUUUGAAGAUAAAAGGAGCAAUCCGCUGAAGGACGGGACCGCGUCCCAUUAGCUAGUUGGUGGGGUAAUGGCCUACCAAGGCAACGAUGGGUAGCUGGUUUGAGAGAGCGACCAGCCACACUGGGACUGAGACACGGCCCAG
This 233-nucleotide ribosomal RNA is filed under the name uncultured bacterium. Its description in RNAcentral is "partial 16S ribosomal RNA". It matches the Rfam family "Bacterial small subunit ribosomal RNA", at positions 103 to 334 of the family's 1533-position model. The record is from RNAcentral.